GGGACGAGGGUAAUACGUGUCUUGUGGUGGGCGAGGGAGGGGGCUGGAAUUAACAAGGGGAUUAAGGAAAGGCAGGGAGCUGAGGUGCCUCCCGCUGGCAGACUUCACGGGAGAAGCAGCGUGUCUGCAAAGAGAGGGGAUGGGUUUCUGGCGAGGCAACGCCUCCCUCCAGCAGGGCUCAAAAGCCUGCAGGUCUCCUCAAAAUAAUAAUCGAGAAGGCUGUGCUGAUUUAGGCUGCGUUAUGCUACUGCAGUUUGUCUCUCUGACAGAGCAAGUGGUCUAAUUUAUGAGACACAGCUUGAUUUUUUAUGAGGCUUUUGACACCACCUGGGGGCAGUCUCACAAGCAAACUUGGCUUGUGGGCGGAAUUUGCAAAACUGCUCUUGUAAUUACCUAUGGUUCACUUCAUGUGUGCUUCAAGUAAACUCCCUGAGGGCUCGGUUCAGUUCUUGAUUAACGUCUCAGAUGAUGCAAUGGGUGCUACAUAUUACAGUUUAAUCUGGAACAGGAUUAGGGCGUAGCAUUUUAGGGUGGGAAGCUGGAACCAAGACAAACAGUGCCUACUGUAAAAUACAGAGUAAAAAAAAACCACACAUCACUUUUUUUUUUCCAAAAAAAUCGUUAAUGAUAUAUUUUUUCCAAGAAAAACAUGAAUGAUGCCUUAAUGCCAGUGGCCAAAGUUUCUACAUGUUUCUUUAAAGCCACAGUAUUAUGCCAUGUGGUGUGAGCAUUAAGACCUUAAAAGAACCUAACUAUUUUUUAAACCACAAAACAGUUGAAAGAGAAGUUAUGUGUGUGCUUCAACAGAAGUUCAGUUUGGGAAAGAUUGAGUAGAAGUUGUAUAUAGGUGAAUCUCAAUCUUUUUUAUCUGUGCCAUCUGACAAAGUAAAUGUGAAUAGUACAGUCUGCUUUCUGAUUUUCUCUGUAUGAAAGCUUAGUUUGCCAGCAGUCAUUCACCAUUAUAAAUAACCCCACACGCUGCAUGAAAUUUAUUUAUGCAUUAUUUUCCUAGUGAUAGCUUCUUUGAGCUCCAGUCACAAAUGUACUUCAGAGGUGGCCUUGCUCCAAGUAUGCUGCCAGUUGGCCUAAGAACAAUGAUGACCAUCUGGGGAGAUAAGGAAGUCCAAAUGCAGCUGAAGUCAGUCAUAAAAAAUGCUUUAUUGCACAAUAACAAGUUCAAGUGAAUAGCUGGGGCAGGCAUCCUUUGGAGAGCUACAACAUUGUUACAGAAAAAUAUCCUAUUUUAAGACUUUCUGAAGAAAUUACAGGCUGUGGAGAUGAAAAGCCAGGAACAAGUCACUGAAGAGUCCUUUUUAAAGUUCAACAGCCAGAUUUGUGUACUACUUGGUUGACAAUAAGGAACUGUUCAUCUGGCUUUUUUCAGUCUGUGAUGAAAAGGUCUGAAUUAUCACAAAUAAACAUGUAAUUAUAAGAAAAUAAUAAGCCUCUGACCACCAUUGUUACUUUUUGUAGCAGCUCUAGACUUUUAAGUCAAUAAUCCGUAACAAAAAAAGGUAAAAUGGAAAAAGCAGCACUUAAAAAGGAAAACAGGUAUACUUGGCCAUCUUCAGAAUUUGAGGAGGAACAUCAGUUUUGAGUGACUUAACCAGUGUACAGAGGGUAUGUUUGUCUUAGUUUUGCAUCUCAGUUCAUUGACUGUUGAAGGGUUAUGGGUUGCCUGUGCUCCAAAUGUGUAUACUCAUUUAAGGUUAGGGGAGACAAAUCUAGGCUAUAGGGAGGACAGUACCCCAGUAGGCAGAUUUCUGGUGACCUAUUAAUUUUAUCAAUCCAUCCAGUGUAGUCUGGACCAGACUUAGGCUACUUGGAGGAAUUAGAGGAGAAGAUGUAAAUGACAUAAGGAACAAAUGAACUCUGCACUCUGUGCUAUCUGAAAUUGACCCUGAAUGUUGAAAAAAAAUGGUAAUCAUUUUUAUCAGCCAAUAAUCAAAAAGUUCAGUCUAUAUAUCAAAAAUUAAAAUAAUUAAUUUUUUUCUUUUCAGCUAUGCUAAAUGUCAAGUGACAGAUUUCCCCCUUCACAUAUCUAUUUAUGGUCCAUAAGUGGCCUAAUUAUUACCAGUGUCCUCCGAAACCUUGAGUAAUAAUUCUUAUUGGUAGCAGUAAUACUCUGAUUAAGAAAAAAUUAAUCAGCUCCAGGCUUAACUUCUGCUGAUACUAAAUAAGUUCCUUAUGAUCUUUCUCUUUUAUGAACUUGGAAAAAAAUAUUAUAAAAUACUGGAAAAUUUGUAUUACAGAACUAAUAGAGGAAGAUUCAAUGUAACACCUCCUAGCAGGGAAGACUUGCAAAAAAGUAUCUCCAAAUUUAUUAAAAGUAUGUGCAUCUUGCUUUAAGAAAACCUAUCCUCCUACUGAAACAGACAGGGUUAUUAAAUUCCAUAUGACAAUACUGUUUAAGAAUAGUUUGGAGAAGAAGUCUGGGGAUCGAACAGCAUGGAAAGGAGGAUGGUGAUGGAUGAGGACUCGCGGAAUUCUGAUCAAUCUACUUGAGAGUUCCCCCAUGAGGGUGAAGUAGGAAACCAAGAUGCAGUGAGCACCCAGGAGCUUCCACCCAUCAAACCAUGGUCAACAGAGCAGGGUCUUCAUCUUGCAUGACUGGGAACACUUCCAUGUAGCUCUGUCAUGGCAGGUACUCUGAUGUCUCUUCUUUAACUUGCAGGAUUUCCAACAUAUCUCAUUAGACCUUGGGAGCAUCUCCAAUGCUCAAGGUAGAUUUUCUGUUAUUGUAGUAGUCCAGAUACCAGUGAUACGAGGUGUGUGCAAUGAGAAUGCGUUGUCCCACAUUUGUUCAGAAUUCCCAUAUUUAAAAAAAAAAAAUAAAAAAAAUUAAAAGAAUUGUAAAAAAUUGUGCUAAAGGGCCAAAUGUACAUGAAACAAAAAUUGCAUUUACAUACUGUAAGUAGUAAAAGAAGUUUUGUGGAAACUGGCAAAGGGACAGUCACUCUCAGUGAUUGGUAUAUAAUCUUCAAUACAAUCAGAAACUGCAGUAUGUUUAAAGUGGAUGUUUUCUGUUGUGAUGUGAAAUAUUUUGCAGAAGAGCAUGAUUUCUAAACAAAGUGGGGCUUUUAUUCUGUGGGAAGUUUAUUGUAAGAGUGCAGCAUGAAAAUUCAAUUUUUGGUCUGUCUUUCCUGCACAUCUUUCACCCUGAUCUUCCGAAAUAGAAGGAGCAAAGCUGCAGACUAUUUCAGAGCAUCAGCCUCCUAUGGAGACAAGAGGAUAGACGGAAAUGUGCGAGAAUCAAAGACAUUCUCUUGGGCUUCAUAAGGACUUUCCAGUGCAAAUCUCAGACUCCUUAAUCACAGCAAAUAACACUGCUGGUCAUGAGACAGCCUCACAGACAGGGGAGAGGCAAGAUCAUGGUGGUUAGGAGAAAUGGAGGAUCUGUUUAUAGCUUCUGAACUGGUGGGAACAGAGAGGAACUGUCUUUCUUGCCCUGUUCCAAUGAUUGGGAAAAAGAGAUUGUUAUUUUUCAAAACUUUUUUAAAGACUAGGUAAAUGUCCUGUUUACAGUACAGCUGAUAUUUUUCUGGCCAUUUCGUGCCCAGAUGCAGCUAUUUGGGCCAUAUUGGUGCUAUCCCUGAACAAGUCAUCUGAUACCUUCUCUGGCCCUGUGCGCUAGAUAUAGUGGCUUUGGGGUUGCUGCUGCCAGUAUGGUCCCACUGUGCUCAGUCAGGGUGGCAGAGGGUGCCCACCUACUGCCACACAGUGUGCCACACAAAGUGCCAUGGCCAGGAUGCACUGCACAGCACUGGGCACAGCGGGAUGCACCCUAUCUCUGAGUGUACCAGUGUGACCUCUGCAGGAGUUCACAGCCCACCUGAAGUCAUGCCUGGAGACUGGGUUAUCUUACUCCAGCUGCAUGACCAGGAAUGCCAGGAGCACCUGCAGUCACCACUCCUGCACAUUGAUCUGCAGUGACUUACCGCUGUUGUGGGAGGUAUUGGUUCCCAAAAUGGGAUAGCCCUGCAUUAAAUAGUAUGUUGGCAAAGAUAGCAUGGCAUUCCCUUUACAUCACCUCCAGAUAAUUCUCCUCUGGCCUUACCUUACUUCUUUCUAGGUCUUCUCAUGUGUUAAAAACCUCUUGAUGGGAGAGUGUUUGGAAGAUAAAAAACCUCAAGGAAAUAAAAUCUCCACAGCUACUAGGCACACCUUUGCACUUACCAUGCAGUGCCAUCUACAGUUGAAAAACUCUUCUGACACUCAGAUGACACCGCAGUAUUGUUUGGUUAGCAGCUUGCAGGCUUAGCAGAGCAAUUCUGCAACAAAAACUAUAGUACUGCAGUUUUCUUUGCAAGCCGAGCUUGUUGAAUGUGGGCUCAGGACUCAAGGCAGAUCUCUUAUCUAGUCUCAGCAUUGCCAGUGGCUCACUGAAUAUUGCUUUAGGCAGUGGGGAGAAUAUUCAUCCUUCCUCACUUCCACCGUAGUCUGUCUCCAUGCACAGUAAGAAUAAGCUCCUCCACUGGAACUGUAGGAAACAGGAACUUAACUAUUUUGCUUUAAAUUGUCCCUUGUAGGAGGCUGUUUCUGAUCACUGACUCCCCAGCAAAAUAGAAUCAUACAAUGGCCUGGGUUGGAAAGGACCUUAAAUAUAAUUUAGUUCCAUGGGCAGGGAUACCUUUCACGAGACGGCUUUGCUCAGAGCUUCAUCCAACCUGGCCUUAAACACUUCCAGGGAUGAGGCAUCCACAGCUUCUCUGGGCAACCUAUUCCAGUGCCUCACAUCCUCACAGUAAAUAAUGUCUUCCUAUUGUCUAAUCUAAACAUGCCCUCUUUCAGUCUGAAGCCAUUCUCUUGUCCUGUCACUACAUGCUCUUGCAAAUAAUCUCUCUCAUUCUUUCCUGUUGGCUCCCUUCAGGUACUGAAGGGAAAUGGAGGGAGGUGGCUAAUAGGGCUACCUAUAGUACAUUGAAACCUAUGAAUAAAAGGCUGAAAAAGAAAUGGUAAAUAUUUCAAUAGCUAAAAUUUGAGAUUCAGUUUUAGUGUGUGAUGAAAUGGCAAAUGAAGGUGCAAGUGAAGUGAUAAAAGAAGUGAGUAGGGUCUCCUUUUUCUGAAAUUUUUAAAACAAAUAUAUAGAGUCAUAGAAUUUGAGUGUGAGUCAUAGGUUUGGGUUGAAAGGGACCUUAAACAUCAUCUUGUUUCAACACCCUGCCAUGGGCAGGGACAUCUUCCACUAGACGAGGUUGCUAAGGGCUCCAUCCAUAAUAGUUCCUAUUAGCUCUACUAACUGAGAUAUUCUUCUCCAUUUCCCCACAAAACUCAAAUUCAUAGUCCUUAUGCUCACUGUUUGACUCGCUGUUUCAGACUAGCUUAAGGAACACUACUUUGUCAGAAGAUACCAGUCUCCCUUUAUGAUUUCAUUACACGGGAAAUAUUUUCAGGUGUGCAAAAGGCAAGUCUUUCUCAGCCACUGAACUAAAAGCGUGGACCUCUUCCCGCAAAAUAUCAUCUCCUGUGCAAACUGCUAGAAAUACUCUCUCGUCUGUUCUGGAUGGAAGAAGUCUUCAAAUCACCUGCAGGGAGGCUUCUCAGAGAAGUACAAAUCUGUGGAUCAAACAUUAAUCAGGAUGUAGAAGAAGGUGGCGGGCUGGUUGUCCCACCCAGCUCAGCCGCUGCGGUUCUCUCAAGAACAUCACACAUGGCGCCACUAGAUGCCACUGUCGAGACACAUUUGUUCUUUGAUGUGGCUUCUCCAAAGGUAUUCAGGAAAAUCACAUUAAAAGAAUGGCAAGAUAUGUUUA
Pseudopipra pipra is the source of this 5753-nucleotide long non-coding RNA. RefSeq lists it as uncharacterized. Lineage: Eukaryota; Metazoa; Chordata; Aves; Passeriformes; Pipridae. The record is from RefSeq and is a predicted model, not a curated record. The transcript has 2 exons.